AAGUCGUAACAAGGUCUCCGUAGGUGAACCUGCGGAGGGAUCAUUAACACGUUGUUCUCCAACGUUUUCCAACCACAAACAAUACGUGAACCAAUCCUUCUCCCAUACAGAACAGAACACAACACUCUUGUGUCGUGUAGUUGUGUGUGGGCUAUUUUUCUUUUAAUUUUACCACUUGUCACCAUUAAUAUAACUAUUUCUAUGACAAUGAAAGUUUUGUUUUCGGACGAACUUUUGUGUUGAUAUCUUAACUAAAAGCACAACUCUUAGCAACGGAUAUCUUGGUUCUC
Molecule: unclassified non-coding RNA, 290 nt
Rfam family: Eukaryotic small subunit ribosomal RNA (bases 1-46)